CCUACGGGAGGCAGCAGUGAGGAAUAUUGGUCAAUGGACGAGAGUCUGAACCAGCCAAGUAGCGUGAAGGAUGACUGCCCUAUGGGUUGUAAACUUCUUUUAUAUGGGAAUAAAAUGUUCCACGUGUGGGAUUUUGUAUGUACUAUAUGAAUAAGGAUCGGCUAACUCCGUGCCAGCAGCCGCGGUAAUCCGGAGGAUCCGAGCGUUAUCCGGAUUGAUUGGGUUUAAAGGGAGCGUAGGUGGAUUGUUAAGUCAGUUGUGAAAGUUUGCGGCUCAACCGUAGAAUUGCAGUUGAAACUGGCAGUCUUGAGUACAGUAGAGGUAGGCGGAAUUCGUGGUGUAGCGGUGAAAUGCUUAGAUAUCACGAAGAACUCCGAUUGCGAAGGCAGCUCACUGGACUGCAACUGACACUGAGGCUCGAAAGUGUGGGUAUCAAACAGGAUUAGAUACCCGGGUAGUC
RNAcentral lists this ribosomal RNA (460 nucleotides) under uncultured bacterium. RNAcentral's name for it is "partial 16S ribosomal RNA". It matches the Rfam family "Bacterial small subunit ribosomal RNA", at positions 338 to 795 of the family's 1533-position model. The record is from RNAcentral.